RNAcentral lists this ribosomal RNA (208 nucleotides) under Sphaerospermopsis sp. FACHB-1194. RNAcentral describes it as "partial 16S ribosomal RNA". It matches the Rfam family "Bacterial small subunit ribosomal RNA", at positions 1 to 238 of the family's 1533-position model. The record is from RNAcentral. Lineage: Bacteria; Bacillati; Cyanobacteriota; Cyanophyceae; Nostocales; Aphanizomenonaceae.
AAAACGGAGAGUUUGAUCCUGGCUCAGGAUGAACGCUGGCGGUAUGCUUAACACAUGCAAGUCGAACGGACUCUUAGGAGUUAGUGGCGGACGGGUGAGUAACGCGUGAGAAUUUGGCUUCAGGUCGGGGACAACAGUUGGAAACGACUGCUAAUACCGGAUGUGCCGGAAGGUGAAAGAUUUAUCGCCUGAAGAUAAGCUCGCGUCU